AGGGGUUCCUUCCCCUGAUGAACCCUUCCCUUCUGUUCUCAUCUCUCCUUCUUGCCCAGUCACAGCCACCCAGCACUGUGCCCAAGGCCUGACUCCCAGUUUCACGGGGAAUCCAAGACAAUUAGUAUUUUGAGAAACUGGGAGCUACAUAGAAAACGAGUCGGUAAAGCCAGUGUCCACUGAUCCUCCACUCCACACAGCGGACUGCUCUAGUCCUCGGGAUAAACCCACACCGCGGGGAAGAUGCGAUCAAGGCGGGCAGGUCGGAGGAGCCGCAAAGCGGGUGGUUCAGAGAACAAGGUCACGUGAACACAAAGCUAAAGUGUUCAGCGGUUGGAAGACAAAACACAGGAGACAGAAACACUGACCGUUUAAAAAGAAAAGAAAAAAAAAAGCCUCACUGUUAAGAGUCCAUCAAGAUUUAAGUUCUCAAGUCACAAUGUAUCAGCACAGACUUCUCAUAAUGCCUGAAACUUGGGGCAGUAAACACGUGAAUCAGUUCUCCCAAGUCCAUCAUUUUGUUUGAUGAGUCUCUUGAUUCUCAGGCUGGUUUCGAAGUAAGCCCUUCUCUGUUUGUUGAUGACUUAAUAAUUAACAUACUUGAAAACACAUUGACUUCCAAAUUAAUCUGCUAACAAAAUAUUCAUUUCCACACUUGCUGUCAUCCACAGAGAAAACACAAUCACUUUCUGGUUGUAAAAAUAUGAGAAUUCGAAGCCCCCUUGGCCAUCUGAACAGCUCUGCUUUUGACAAGGGCAUUCCAAAGCUAAUCUGAAAAACUAGUCCAGGCCAUGAUCGUUGGGGGUUGGACUUGCCUCAUCACCCCACCUCCCUUCUGGAAUUAGACAGAACUUAGACUCUUAGUCUGAUGGGAAACAUUUACAAUCCUCCGAAGCUACCGGGAGGAUUCCCUCCACGUGACAAAUCUUGAUCUCCACAACCCCUUAUCUUACAACUCUCUCGACCAACUGUCAAUCAGGAAAUUUUUGAAUCUACCUAUGACCUGCAAAUCCCUGCUUCCAGUUGUCCCACCUUUCCACACCAAACCAAUGUACAUCGUACAUUUAUUUGAUUGUUGUCUCAUGUCUCCCUAAAAGCUACAAAACCAGACUGUGCCCCGAUCACCUCGGGAAUACGUUCUUAGGAUCUCCUGAGGGCUGUAUCAAGGGUCAUGGUAACUCAUUUGGCUCAGAAUCAAUCUCUAAAUGCUUCACAGAGUUUGACUCUCUUUGCUGACACAGUACCUUUCAUGGGUAUUCAUCUGGAGGACUCACAAUCAACCGGAGGUAGCAGUUGCCCACUAUACAAAAGUCUCUGCAGGACUGAGCCUCUGGCAUGGGGACUCCAACCCCUGAAGUAGCAGCUGUCCCACGUCCCACGGCCUGAUAGACCUGCACC
This 1398-nucleotide long non-coding RNA is filed under the name Macaca fascicularis (crab-eating macaque). Its description in RNAcentral is "lncRNA (ENSMFAG00000064831.1)". The record is from RNAcentral. Lineage: Eukaryota; Metazoa; Chordata; Mammalia; Primates; Cercopithecidae.